UGGGGAAUUUUGGACAAUGGGGGAAACCCUGAUCCAGCCAUCCCGCGUGUGCGAUGAAGGCCUUCGGGUUGUAAAGCACUUUUGGCAGGAAAGAAACGUCGCGGGUUAAUACCCCGCGAAACUGACGGUACCUGCAGAAUAAGCACCGGCUAACUACGUGCCAGCAGCCGCGGUAAUACGUAGGGUGCAAGCGUUAAUCGGAAUUACUGGGCGUAAAGCGUGCGCAGGCGGUUCGGAAAGAAAGAUGUGAAAUCCCAGAGCUUAACUUCGGAACUGCAUUUUUAACUACCGGGCUAGAGUGUGUCAGAGGGAGGUGGAAUUCCGCGUGUAGCAGUGAAAUGCGUAGAUAUGCGGAGGAACACCGAUGGCGAAGGCAGCCUCCUGGGAUAACACUGACGCUCAUGCACGAAAGCGUGGGGAGCAAACAGGAUUAGAUACCCUGGUAGUCCACGCCCUAAACGAUGUCAACUAGCUGUUGGGGCCUUCGGGCCUUGGUAGCGCAGCUAACGCGUGAAGUUGACCGCUUGGGGAGUACGGUC
RNAcentral lists this ribosomal RNA (539 nucleotides) under uncultured bacterium. Its description in RNAcentral is "partial 16S ribosomal RNA". It matches the Rfam family "Bacterial small subunit ribosomal RNA", at positions 355 to 887 of the family's 1533-position model. The record is from RNAcentral.